Long non-coding RNA from Zonotrichia albicollis (white-throated sparrow), 392 nucleotides. RefSeq lists it as uncharacterized. The record is from RefSeq and is a predicted model, not a curated record. Lineage: Eukaryota; Metazoa; Chordata; Aves; Passeriformes; Passerellidae.
AGUUGCUUGCAGCCUUCUGAGGUGGCAUGGUGUUACUCUGGAUAGAUGUGGUAAUCUACAUAACCUUUUGCUUUCCUGAGUGGCUAGUCAGCCUGAACUUGAAAAAUUGGCAUGCUGAACCAUCAGGACCAGAUUAAUGGAACUGAGAAAUCCAAGAAGGAAAGUGGAGGCUGAGUGAUGCUGAUUACUCUGGAAGGUGUCAUGUCAUUGAUAGUUUUUGUUUUUUAUGCUGAUAUUAACUACACACUGUAAAGUGAAACCAGGAUUUGGAAACUGUGAAUUGCUACUCAACAAAAUGAGUGAGGAAAGAAGUUUCAGUGGGAGACUGUAAGUAAAAUGUGUUAAUACUGCACUUAGCUGUGACUCAUUGUGCAGAUCCUUGCAUUACAGGC